GUAAAUUGAGUAAAAAAGAUUCAUCCUUGCCAAUGUCGGCAGGCGUCAUCCAGUCCAUUGAGGGCCAGAUUAGAACAAAAAGGUGGAGGAAGGGCAAAUUCUGUCUUUCUUCUUGAGCCAGGACAUCCAUCUCUCCUGCCCUCAGACAUCGGAACCGGAGCUUCCGGUUCUUGGGCCUUGGACUCUGGGACUGACACAAGGCUGGCCUUCCUUUGUCCUUGGACUGGUUCUCCAGCGUGCUGGCAGCAGGUCAUGGCAUACCUCAGCCUCCAUCCUCGUGUAAAUCAAUUCCUGUAAUGACUCUCCUCUCAUACAUCACGAUAUAUCCUAUUGGUUCUGUUUCUCUGGAGAACCCCACUACACUAUCAUUUCUUUUUUCAGUAAUGAGCGUCAGAAAGGAGUCCAGAGGACAGGUUCUCUCUCCACUUCCUCAGCCUGCUGAGGACUGAGGCUGACAACAAGCAGACCCUAGAAAUUCUCCACAAUGCAUCCAUUCUCAGAUGUGUGGAUUUCCAGAUUUCGUUUAGAUGGAACAUGCUCAGGGAAAGAGGGCCCUCCCACAACUUCAGUGGAUAAACUAGGAUUGGUCUAAUCCAAGCAAGGUCAUGCCAUUUUCUUUUUGUUAUUGAUUGGUUUUGGGGUGGGCAUGUGACCCAAUUUUAACCAGUACGAUACAAAGGGAAGACAACUGGGGGACUUCUGGGAAGGAUUUUUCUUCCUCUUAUGCCAAGAAGUCCUUUCCAUCCUCCUGCCACGAAGGAGGUUGGGUAAGGAUGUGAUGCUUGGAGCUGUGGCAGCCAUCCUGCAACCAUAAGGUGAUAAGCCUAAGAAAGAGAAGCUAGCACACCAAGGAUGGUGGAGCAGAAAGAUAAAACGAGACUGGGUCCUUGAUGACUUUGCUGAGCUGUUGCAUCAACCCUGGGAUUCCCUGUCCCCCCAGCCUUCUUAUCUGAGAUAGUGAAGAAUCUUUAUUCCCGGAGACAUUAGCAGCUACACUGUUACCUGCAGCUGAAACGCUCCUUUCUGUAACGCAGCAAGCUCACGGGGUGUUGUGAGGAUGAAAUAAGAUAAUAAUGUUGGGGAAAAUUCCAAGCCUGGGACUUGGCUCAGAGUAGGUGUUCAAUACAUGCUGGUUUCCUCCC
Molecule: long non-coding RNA, 1142 nt
Filed under: Equus asinus (donkey)
Lineage: Eukaryota; Metazoa; Chordata; Mammalia; Perissodactyla; Equidae
Description: lncRNA (ENSEASG00005029410.1)
Source: RNAcentral